RNAcentral lists this ribosomal RNA (429 nucleotides) under bacterium. RNAcentral describes it as "partial 16S ribosomal RNA". It matches the Rfam family "Bacterial small subunit ribosomal RNA", at positions 355 to 776 of the family's 1533-position model. The record is from RNAcentral.
UAGGGAAUCUUCGGCAAUGGGGGCAACCCUGACCGAGCAACGCCGCGUGAGUGAAGAUGGUUUUCGGAUCGUAAAGCUCUGUUGUAAGAGAAGAACGUGUGUGAGAGUGGAAAGUUCACACAGUGACGGUAACUUACCAGAAAGGGACGGCUAACUACGUGCCAGCAGCCGCGGUAAUACGUAGGUCCCGAGCGUUGUCCGGAUUUAUUGGGCGUAAAGCGAGCGCAGGCGGUUUAAUAAGUCUGAAGUUAAAGGCAGUGGCUUAACCAUUGUUCGCUUUGGAAACUGUUAAACUUGAGUGCAGAAGGGGAGAGUGGAAUUCCAUGUGUAGCGGUGAAAUGCGUAGAUAUAUGGAGGAACACCGGUGGCGAAAGCGGCUCUCUGGUCUGUAACUGACGCUGAGGCUCGAAAGCGUGGGGAGCAAACAGG